Molecule: ribosomal RNA, 253 nt
Filed under: uncultured bacterium
Lineage: Bacteria
Description: partial 16S ribosomal RNA
Rfam family: Bacterial small subunit ribosomal RNA
Source: RNAcentral
UACGAAGGGGGCUAGCGUUGCUCGGAAUCACUGGGCGUAAAGCGCACGUAGGCGGAUUGUUAAGUCAGGGGUGAAAUCCUGGAGCUCAACUCCAGAACUGCCUUUGAUACUGAGAAGCUUGAGUCCGGGAGAGGUGAGUGGAACUGCGAGUGUAGAGGUGAAAUGCGUAGAUAUCGUAAGGAAGACCAGUGGCGAAGGCGGGUCUCUGGACAGUUCCUGACGCUGAGGCACGAAGGCCAGGGGGGCAAACGGG